CAUUGAACGGACUCGAUCGUUACUAGGAUGGUAGCGACAACGGAAUGACAAUGGACCCCUCUGGAUGAGGCAAGGACUAAACAUCAGGAUGAUGUCAAGGACACUGCUCAGGGAACAAGUAAUGUGCGCUAACAGGAUGGUUAGCAGAUCAGGAUGAUCGAGGACACCGCUAGGAAGGCGAUGAACGGAUUACGCUGAAGGAAUAGCACACUAUCAAGGAAUAGAUGCAGGGAGCACCUAUUUAGUAGCUGGAUUGCUGCGAGUAAGACCAUAACCCCGCAGGGCUUUGCCCGCGGGGUUUUCUUUUGCU
RNAcentral lists this non-coding RNA (310 nucleotides) under Vibrio cincinnatiensis DSM 19608. Lineage: Bacteria; Pseudomonadati; Pseudomonadota; Gammaproteobacteria; Vibrionales; Vibrionaceae. The record is from RNAcentral.